RNAcentral lists this unclassified non-coding RNA (283 nucleotides) under Ascomycota sp. Its description in RNAcentral is "partial contains small subunit ribosomal RNA, internal transcribed spacer 1, and 5.8S ribosomal RNA". The stretch from base 1 to 47 matches the Rfam family "Eukaryotic small subunit ribosomal RNA", at positions 1785 to 1831 of the family's 1831-position model. The record is from RNAcentral. Lineage: Eukaryota; Fungi; Ascomycota.
AAAGUCGUAACAAGGUUUCCGUAGGUGAACCUGCGGAAGGAUCAUUACAGAGUUGAGGUGACCUUGUGGCUGACCCCUACGGGGCGUUCGGCAGGGGUUAUACUCCUCACCACCCGUGUUUACCAAACCUGUUGCUUCGGCGGGCCCGCCGCUCGUCGGCCGCCGGGGGACGAUCGUCCCCGGGCCCGUGCCCGCCGAAGACCCCUCGAACACUGCCUGAAGGUUGCUGUCUGAGUGAAAAAUAAACAAAACAAAACUUUCAACAACGGAUCUCUUGGUUCCG